CCCAUUUUGGUACUCUCUCCCAAGGUGACACAAUUCAAGUAACGUAAUAUUUUUUACAUUUUCAUGUAUGCAGUUCAUGCAUGUUCCUUUGAAUUUUGAUUUUUUUUGGUAAUGUUGCUAAAUAUUCUAAAACAAUUGUCCUCCCACAUUAUGUUUACUUCCGAUAUCUUCAAUUUCAGUGAUCAUAAUUCAAUUAAUGUAUUACUGAUCG
RNAcentral lists this long non-coding RNA (211 nucleotides) under Mytilus galloprovincialis (Mediterranean mussel). Lineage: Eukaryota; Metazoa; Mollusca; Bivalvia; Mytilida; Mytilidae. The record is from RNAcentral.